Molecule: ribosomal RNA, 460 nt
Filed under: uncultured bacterium
Lineage: Bacteria
Description: partial 16S ribosomal RNA
Rfam family: Bacterial small subunit ribosomal RNA
Source: RNAcentral
CCUACGGGUGGCAGCAGUGAGGAAUAUUGGUCAAUGGCCGGAAGGCUGAACCAGCCAUGCCGCGUGAAGGUCAGUGCCCUAUGGGCGUUAAACUUCUUUUGUGCGGGAGCAAUAAUGGUCACGUGUGGCCAGACGAGAGUACCGUACGAAUAAGCAUCGGCUAACUCCGUGCCAGCAGCCGCGGUAAUACGGGGGAUGCAAGCGUUAUCCGGAUUUAUUGGGUUUAAAGGGUGCGUAGGCUGUGAGGUAAGUCAGCGGUGAAAUGCCCCCGCUCAACGGGGUGAAGUGCCAUUGAUACUGCCUGGCUGGAAUGCGGAGGCGGUGGGAGGAAUGUGUGGUGUAGCGGUGAAAUGCAUAGAUAUCACACAGAACACCGAGUGCGAAGGCAUCUCACGAAUCCGCGAUUGACGCUGAUGCACGAAAGCGUGGGUAUCAAACAGGAUUAGAUACCCCAGUAGUC